RNAcentral lists this ribosomal RNA (377 nucleotides) under uncultured bacterium. RNAcentral describes it as "bacterial SSU rRNA". It matches the Rfam family "Bacterial small subunit ribosomal RNA", at positions 521 to 896 of the family's 1533-position model. The record is from RNAcentral.
UAAUACGUAGGUGACGAGCGUUAUCCGGAAUUAUUGGGCGUAAAGCGCACGCAAGCGGUCUUUCAAGUCUGACGUGAAAUCUCUUGGCUUAACUGGGAGCGGUCGUUGGAAACUGAGAGGCUUGAGGCGAUGAGAGGGGUGCAGAAUUCCCGGUGUAGUGGUGGAAUGCGUAGAUAUCGGGGGGAAUACCUGUGGCGAAAGCGGCACCCUGGCGUCGUUCUGACGCUCAUGUGCGAAAGCGUGGGGAGCGAACGGGAUUAGAUACCCCGGUAGUCCACGCUGUAAACGAUGAACACUAGGUGUGGGGCGUGUCAAAACGCUCCGUGCCAAAGCCAACGCGUUAAGUGUUCCGCCUGGGAAGUACGGCCGCAAGGCUA